Molecule: small nucleolar RNA, 75 nt
Filed under: Setaria italica (foxtail millet)
Lineage: Eukaryota; Viridiplantae; Streptophyta; Magnoliopsida; Poales; Poaceae
Also listed under: 1 other name
Description: snoRNA snoR60
Rfam family: Small nucleolar RNA snoR60
About the family: snoR60 is a member of the C/D class of snoRNA which contain the C (UGAUGA) and D (CUGA) box motifs.
Source: Rfam by way of RNAcentral
CUGUAAAGGACGAGUAUACUCGGAUUCCCCUUCAGAGCAUCUAAAUGGAUGAUGGAAAUUCGAGUUUCUGAUGCG